GGGCCCUUGGCACAGUUGGUCUUCGCACUUGUAAGGCAUUGCGUCAAGUCGUGGGUUCGACUCCCACAGUGUCCA
Non-coding RNA from Hymenopellis radicata, 75 nucleotides. Lineage: Eukaryota; Fungi; Basidiomycota; Agaricomycetes; Agaricales; Physalacriaceae. The record is from the annotation of a GenBank genome assembly.